RNAcentral lists this ribosomal RNA (301 nucleotides) under uncultured bacterium. RNAcentral describes it as "partial 16S ribosomal RNA". It matches the Rfam family "Bacterial small subunit ribosomal RNA", at positions 509 to 807 of the family's 1533-position model. The record is from RNAcentral.
CAGCAGCCGUGGUAAUACAGAGGGUGCGAGCGUUAAUCGGAUUUACUGGGCGUAAAGCGUGCGUAGGCGGCUUUUUAAGUCGGAUGUGAAAUCCCUGAGCUUAACUUAGGAAUUGCAUUCGAUACUGGGAAGCUAUAGUAUGGGAGAGGAUGGUAGAAUUCCAGGUGUAGCGGUGAAAUGCGUAGAGAUCUGGAGGAAUACCGAUGGCGAAGGCAGCCAUCUGGCCUAAUACUGACGCUGAGGUACGAAAGCAUGGGGAGCAAACAGGAUUAGAUACCCCAGUAGUCCCUGUCUCUUAUAC